This 253-nucleotide ribosomal RNA is filed under the name uncultured bacterium. RNAcentral's name for it is "partial 16S ribosomal RNA". It matches the Rfam family "Bacterial small subunit ribosomal RNA", at positions 524 to 776 of the family's 1533-position model. The record is from RNAcentral.
UACGAAGGGGGCUAGCGUUGCUCGGAAUCACUGGGCGUAAAGGGUGCGUAGGCGGGCCUUUAAGUCAGGGGUGAAAUCCUGGAGCUCAACUCCAGAACUGCCUUUGAUACUGAGGAUCUUGAGUUCGGGAGAGGUGAGUGGAACUGCGAGUGUAGAGGUGAAAUUCGUAGAUAUUCGCAAGAACACCAGUGGCGAAGGCGGCUCACUGGCCCGAUACUGACGCUGAGGCACGAAAGCGUGGGGAGCGAACAGG